AUGCCGGCCACAGCCUCGAGCUCCCUCCGGCUCCCGGUGAUGCUGAACAUGCUGGCCCUACCAGGGACCCACAGCGAUGGUUCCAGCACCUUCUACGCGCCAUCGCUCCAGGGCCGGGUCAGGAUCUCCAGGGACAGCGGGCAGAGCUCGGUGACGCUGACCAUGACCGACCUCCGGGUCGAGGAUUCCGGAUCCUAUUUCUGUGGGAAAUCUUCUGAUACUGGUGCUGGUGCUGCAUAUCGUUUCCCAUCCCCAUCUGCCCUUGUCCCCGCAGGGCUCCGGGCGGCCGUGACCCUGCUGGAGUGCGGGGGGGACCUCCAGCCCCCCGGGGGCUCCCUGCGCCUCCUCUGCCGAGGGUCUGGGUUCGAUUUCGGGAGUUUUGGGAUGUUCUGGAUCCGCCAGAGACCCGGGCAGGGGCUGGAGUGGCUCGCGGGGAUCGACAUCCUUGGCAGCACCGACUACGUGCCGUCGGUGCAGGGCCGGGUCAGGAUCUCCAGGGACGACGGGCAGAGCUCGGUGACGCUGACCAUGACCGACCUGCGGGACGAGGAUUCCGGAUCCUAUUUCUGUGCCAAAGGUGCUGUGGCUGGUUGGGGUGCUGCUGCUGCUGCUGGUCUUACCCGUGACCAUUGA
Molecule: non-coding RNA, 633 nt
Organism: Haemorhous mexicanus (house finch)
Lineage: Eukaryota; Metazoa; Chordata; Aves; Passeriformes; Fringillidae
Source: the annotation of a RefSeq genome assembly